UCGAAGACUUUUUAGGAUGCNGAAAAAGCC
This 30-nucleotide non-coding RNA is filed under the name Mus musculus (house mouse). Lineage: Eukaryota; Metazoa; Chordata; Mammalia; Rodentia; Muridae. The record is from RNAcentral.